GAGUUGUUGGUCUUCUACCCAGUAGUCGGUAGUCGUAAAUCCUGUUGGCCUGCUUUCCAGCAGUUUGUGGUUUGUUAUAAGCCCUAUUUUUGUUUCCCGUGCGGAUUCGUGUUUCGUUCUAUCCCCACACGGAGUUCGUGGUUUUCUACCCAUGUAUUCGGUAGAUGUAAACCCUAAUUUGUGGUUAUUCCCACCAGAGUAUGGCUACUACCCCGUAUUCGGUAGUUGUAAGUCCUAUCUUUUUUCCCCUAGCAUAGGUAACCUUUGUGGUUCGUUCUGGUUAAUGGUGGAAUUUCUGUUAUUGUGAUUUUUAUCCCCAACAAAAUUUGUGUUUCCCGAUGGAAUAAGUUGAAUAAGUGCUCAGUAUUUGGCAUUCAUUCACCCUAUCCCCAGUGGAGUUUUUGGUCUUCUACCCCGUAUUCGGUAGUUAUAAAUCCCAUGUUGUUUUGUUCUCCCCAUCGGAGUUUGUGCCUUAUGGUACAGUUGGAUAAUUGCCGGAUGCUUGCAAUUUUAUCCCAGCUGAGUCGUUGGUUUCUACCCAGUAGUCGGUAGUGUUAACCUCUUGUUUCCUCAGCCAGAUUUUUGGUAUUCUACCCCGUAUUACCGGAUGCUUGCAAUUUUAUCCCAGCUGAGUCGUUGGUUUCUACCCAGUAGUCGGUAGUGUUAACCUCUUGUUUCCUCAGCCAGAUUUUUGGUAUUCUACCCCGUAUUCGGUAGUUGUAAACCCUAAGUUCUCUCCUUUGCAGAGUCAACCUUGUUGUUCAUCCUAACCGAUGACGGUUACUCUUUAUGGUUAUCUUCAUUCAAUAUUUGAUGUUGAUAUUCCUCCCUUUGCUUGUGGAUAAUUGCCGUAUGCUAGCAAUUUAUCCUCAGCAAGUGUCUUCUGGAUCAUUGCCGUAUGCUCGCAAUGUUAUCCCUUUUGAAGUCGCCAUUGGGUCUUUUCACCGUUUGCUAGUGAUUUGUUCCCCGGAUCAUUGAUUUGUUUAUCAAUGUAUCCCCAGCUAGUCCCUGUGGAUAACUGCCAGAUGCUUGCAAUUCAUUCUCAGCGGAUCGCCUUUCAUUUACCCGUUUGCUCGGUAAUGAUCAUUGCUUCGUUGAUUGGUCAUCAUUAUAUACCUAGUUUUGGUAUCCCGAUGCCUUUCUUUUCGGUCGAUUUAUCCUUUGUUAACCCAGUAACCGGUUGUGGAUAAUCUUCCAUGCGAGUGUGUUAUCCACGUUCUGACAUUCUUUUCGGUCGAUUUAUCCUUUGUUAACCCAGUAACCGGUUGUGGAUAAUCUUCCAUGCGAGUGUGUUAUCCACGUUCUGACGGUAAUGGAUAAUAUAUCUCAUGCACUCUUCAGUCGAAGCCUUCUGUGUUUCCCUAGUCGAGUAAGAUUCGUUAUUUCCCUUUGCGGAGUCGAAUAUUUCUUUGUUGUUGGGAUAAUUGCCGGAUGCUUGCAAUUUAUCCCCUUUGAGUUGUCUUUCGUUUACCCGGAUGCUUGGUAUCGAUUGUCUUUCCUUUGGUUAGUCACCUAUUAUAUACUUCGGUAUCUCUGGUGCCUUUUCCUUUCGAGUGUGUUAUUCACGGUCUGCCGGUAAUGAAUAAUAUAUCUCUUGCGCUCUUUGGUUGGAAUCCUUUGUUGAUCUUCCCCAGUAGAGUAAGAUUCGUAUUCUUUGUAGAAUCGAAUGUCCAUCCUUUAACCAGUUUGUGUUUUGGAUGAUGCGUGUUUUGGCAUAUAUACCAAUUCACGUUUUCGGUAGAUCACCUAUUAUAUACUUCGGUAUCCCUGGUGUUUCUUAUCAAGCGAGUGUAUUAUCUACGGUCUGCCGGUAAUAGAUAAUAUAUCUCAUGCGAGUAUUCUAUCCACGUUCUGACGGUAAUGGAUAUUGUAUCUCAUGCGCUCUUUGGGUUUGUGUCCCCAGUUGAGUAAGAUUCGUUUGUCCCGUUGUGGAUUCGAAUGUCCAUCCUGUAAGUCGAUUUGCUUUUUCAAGCUCUCCUUUCGGAUGAUGAGUGUUUUGGCAUAUAUACCAAUUCACGUCUUUGGUUAGUCACCUAUUAUAUACUCCGGUAUCUCUGGUGUUUCUUCCUUUUCGAGUAUAUUAUUCACGGUCUGCCGGUAAUGAAUAAUAUGUCUCAUGCUCUUGGGUCAAUCUUCUGAUUGUUUCCUCUGCAGAGUAAGAUUCAUAUUCCUUGUGGAAUUGAAUAUCCAUCCUAUAAACAAGUCUGCUUUUCUAGCUUCCUUCAGGAUGAUGAGUGUCUUGGCAUAUAUACCAAUUCACGUUUCGGUCGGUCACCUACCUUGUGGAAUUGAAUAUCCAUCCUAUAAACAAGUCUGCUUUUCUAGCUUCCUUCAGGAUGAUGAGUGUCUUGGCAUAUAUACCAAUUCACGUUUCGGUCGGUCACCUAUUAUAUACCUCGGUAUCCCUGGUUUCCUUCCUUUCUGCUCCCUAUUAUGACCUCGGUCCCCUGUGGAGUCAGAUUUGCCUGAGUUUAUGUACCUUUUUCAGGUCUUCCUCAGAUGUUUGGAUUGAUUGAUAUCUCUCACCCUUAUACCGGUCUUAGAUAUUCAUUCUUCCUGAGUUUGUUGCCCUUAUACCGGUGACAUCUCAUCCUCGGUUUCCCCUGAAAAGUCUUUUCUAGAUUUCCCCAGCGGAGUUGUAUUGCUAUUUGUGUUGCUGUAUUGGCGUUUUCCCCAGUACAUGCAUUGUGUGAGUUAGCUUGAGUCAUUCCAAUGGAUUGUGUUUCCCCUGAAAUUUCGUUCUCUCCCCAGUUCGAGUCCUUUGCUUCCCCAGUGAGGUCUCCAGUCUGAUUUCUGUUAUCCCCUAAUCAGAGUCGUGUCUUGCACACGUUGUGUCAGUUUUGUUUUUCCCCAACUCGAAGUCGUGUCCUGCUCACGCAUUUCUUUUUCUUUUAUUAUCCCCAAUAAGAGUCCUGUUAGAGUCUCUGUUCCUGGUGAGUGUAUUACUCCGAUGGAUCGUCUUUUCUUCUGUGUGAAUUAUAUCCUCACAGAGUUUGUGUCUUUUACAUGCAUACAUUUGCAUCAUGAGGUCUCUUAGGGACCAAAAUUUGUCUCAUUACUGUUAUUUAAGUCCAUUCUACCGCGUCGAGAUGAAGAUUUCUAAACUUCACUUAUCUAAACUUCACUUCUCCGGAUAGAAUGACCUUAAAUAGGGGCAUCUGUAAGACCCCAAUUUUGGCCCUAAGAUCCCUCAUGGCCCAUAACAUCUCAUAUCAUGGCCUCAAGGAUCAUUGCAUACCCAUUGCUUCCCUCCUAGUGGGUGAGUUAUCUUGUGAGUGUGGUUCUUGAUCACCAAGCAUGUAUUGCACUUGUAUAUCAUUGCUUUUCAUAUGUUUACUAACCAAAAGUACAAAAAUAUUGUCAUCUAGCGACGAAUACACCGCUACACACCUCACAGUUGUUCACGAGUCUGAAGAUGUUCUUAUCAACCCCAUUGAAUAUAGCAUUCAAUGCUUUAGAGUUUCCAAGGGCUAGUUCAUCCCUUCCUUGGUCCAUUCUUCCUCAGCCAUCUUAUCAGUUGUAACUUCUCCUUCCAUAGUAAUAACGUGAUGUUCCCAGCCUAUUAGAACAACCUUCCAAGCCUUAUUAUCCAAAGAUUUUAGGAAGGCUACCAUUCGAGGUUUCAAGUAGUCAUAGUUAGAUCCAUCCAGAAUUGGUGGUCUGUGAAUAGAUCCUUUGUCUCUAUCCAUAGUCCCAGAAAGUAACAUCCCAAGAUCUCACCCAGAACCAGAGCAGGAUGCCUUCUCUAAUACCAAUUGAAAUUCUGGUAUUAGAUAUGAGAUGUCGAAGGUAAUGUCACGACACUAAUAUCUGAACAAUAUAAACAGGAUAAAAGAUAAAGAAACAAUAGUACAAGUUGUAAUACCCCAAAAUUUACCCUUCAUUUUUCCUGGAAGCAUGGGAUUAUGUUUUACACUUCAUUAGCAUCAUAUUAGGUCAUACUCAUUGCAUACUGCAUUAGUUACAUGGAGAUCAGGUUUUGAUCGAUCACUCCUUAACAGAAGGAGUCCAUUGAGAAUUGGACUUCAUUUUCCAAGUAUAUAAGUUUCAAGGGUCUCAGGGGGCUCCAAGUAUCUUAUUAUGGUCCUUAGUUCAUCAGUGAAGGAUUCAAAGCUAUCAGAGUGUUCAUCUGGAUUUAAUCAGAAAUUAGGGUUUCAUGGCUACCUGCAACAGGCAAUAUUUGGUUGGAAGUAGAGGAGCUCAUCCAGGUCAUGAUUAUAGAGGCAUCUUGGCCUAGGAAGAUUCACAAUUAUCUCAGAAAGACCCAUUGGCAAUCAGUGCAAUCAGUUCCUGAUCAUUUUGCCCUAAAACUAGGGUUUGGUAUAAAGUCAGUUUAUUUCUGAUUCUUUGGGUGAAACUCUUUUCCAUGGCCCUCCAUAUGUCCACAAGGGUCUACAUACAAAAAAUUAGCUCUUUAUUUGAGCUAGAAGUGCUUCAAUUGAUCAAUGGAAUCGGAUAUGUCCACAAGGGUCUACAUACAAAAAAUUAGCUCUUUAUUUGAGCUAGAAGUGCUUCAAUUGAUCAAUGGAAUCGGGAAUCAGACAGUUUGGGAAAAGUCAACUGUGGGGCCAGAAAAGUCAACUGUGGGGCCAGAAAAGUUAACUCCUGACAUUUUGAGAGUGGAAUCUCAAAAUCCACGCCUAGGCGAUCCUACAUGUGAAAUUUGAUCACAACUCUUCCCCUUAUCGUCCUAAGAUGAACGGUGCUGUUGAGGCAGCAAAUAAGAACAUAAAGAAGAUUGUGUAGAAGAUGGUCGUUACGUACAAAGAUUGGCAUGAGAUGCUACCCUUCGCCUUGCAUGGGUACCGUACUUCAGUACGUACAUCGACCGGGGAAACCCCUUACUCCCUUGUGUAUGGUAUGGAAGCAGUCCUACCUGUUGAAGUGAAGAUUCCUUCUCUAAGAGUCCUGCUGGAUGUCAAGUUAGACGAAGCUGAAUGGGUUCGAACAAGGUUCAAUGAGUUGAGUCUUAUCGAAGAGAAGCGAAUGGAAGCCAUUUGUCAUGGGCAGCUGUAUCAAAGUCGGAUGAAGAGAGCCUUUGAUCAGAAAGUGCAUCCUCGAUGCUUCCAAGUCGGAGAUUUGGUGUUGAAAAGGAUCCUUCCUCCUUAGACAUAUCACAGGGGCAAGUGGACUCUUAAUUAUGAUGGACCGUAUAUUGUCACCAAGGUUUUUGAUGGUGGAGCCUUAAUGCUUGCAACUAUGGAUGGUGAAAACUUCACUUCCCCUGUGAACUCAGACGCAGUUAAAAAAUACUUCGCAUAAAGGUGGAGCCUUAAUGCUUGCAACUAUGGAUGGUGAAAACUUCACUUCCCCUGUGAACUCAGACGCAGUUAAAAAAUACUUCGCAUAAAAUAGACCCGCUGGACGAUAAAAAGAAUAGUCCAGGCAAAUAAAUGGGCAUCCCGGCGAACCAAGAAAAUGAAAAAGGUUCAGGAAAAAGUUAGGGAUUAAAAAAUGAAAAGAUUGUACACCCGGUAAGUUGAAAACCUGAAAGGGCAACUUAGGCAAAAAUGGGUAUCCCAGUGGAUUGAAAACCCGAAAGGGCGAUCCAGGAAAAAGUUAGGGAUUAAGCGAAUGGUUGCAUUCUGAGUAGUUCUGAAUAUCAUCUCGUGUCGAUAACCGGAAACUUCCGAAGGAUAGGAAACAGUCCAAUCACCUUUUUCGGAAAGCUGAUCAUCUGGAGGAUCUUGAAAACGAGCGAAUCAUAGCAGAAUUGGAACCCGAUAGAAAUCCAUUUCACAUUGCCAUUAGAUUAAUUUUUGUUUUUAUCUGUUGUGCAAUUACCUCUUUCCAGGGAUUACUUCCUGAUGUAAAUACCUAUUCAGAGGCCACUCAAUCAUUAAAAUCACGUUAUUCAGUACACCUCGGUGUUCAUUUUCAUUUUACUGUUUUGUUUGCAAAAAUGACGUCCGAAUUUUUGAUAAACAUUGCAUCAUGAAACAUAAGAGCUUUACAGGUACGUGCUUAAUAAACAUUGAAAAUUGCUGUAAAUUUUAAGUGCUUUGGAUCGUCUAUUCAGAACAGGUACACUCGGGGCAUUUCCUUAAGGUCCCCAUCAAAUGAUCGCGAAUGUUUUUCCUCAACAGUUGGAAUUUGGUAUCUUAUCCCUGCAGAGCUGGUCCGAGCGUUGGAAUCUUCAAUCCCUAGCAGGCUCUCACUGCUAUACUUCCCCAAGCAUUUGUUUCAGAUUAUAAAUUCACCAGUAGAGUCGAUAGUGUCAGACUGUAUAUCCCCAGCGGAGUUGACAUUGUCAGACUGUAUAUCCCCAACGGAGUUGAAAGUGCCAGACUGUAUCUUCCCAGCAAAAGCGGCUGCUCCUCAGAGUUUGAUGCCAGAUCGAUGAUCUCGACCCUAGACCCAUGAUCUCUUUCCUUGAAGCAGAAUCUCGGUACCGUAUCGGUGUUUGCUUCCCCUGCUGAGUCGUCUCUCUCGCAGAUUACGGUUGCCAGAACCACUGUCGCUUUCCUCAACAGCAAUUUUUCAGUGGCAUUCUCUCCCCAGUCAGAGCCUCAAUAUUUUGUUAUUUUCCAGAACACCGUGUGGCAGCUCAUUUCCCCACAGAGUUCUUUGUGUUGUGCAUCUCAACCAGCCUUGCCAGGGUCCAGAAGAUGGUGAUCAUUUCCCCAGCAGAAUUCCUUGCCUCAGCUUGGCGUUCUCUCUAAUCAAACAUUUCGUAUCCCUGUAUGUAGAAUCAUAUUGCAUUGCAUCCUCCCAAAUUGCGUAGCAUUUCCAUUUUCAUGGAGCAUGACGCCAUUGAAAAAUUCAAACAUACGCAUGUAAAGCAUAAGGCAUUCUCGGUAUCCCAAGUGAUAAGCCAGAAGUUGUUUCCAGUACUCAAACUGAAGAUUGUUCAUGACUUAUCUUUAUUAUUCCCAAAAAUUCAAACAUACGCAUGUAAAGCAUAAGGCAUUCUCGGUAUCCCAAGUGAUAAGCCAGAAGUUGUUUCCAGUACUCAAACUGAAGAUUGUUCAUGACUUAUCUUUAUUAUUCCCAGCAGGGGUCUUUGGCCCACGCGCCGCCUCAAUUAUCAUUUUCCCUAUUUCUGCCGAUGCUGACAGGUAUAAAAGUUUCCAGUAUUCAGACCGAAGUGGCAUUCAGGCUAGUUUUCCGAUGUUCAGAUCGAAGAAGUUUCUGAAGUUCAGGUCGACGCAACUUGUGGCAUUUAGGCCAAGUUUCCGAUAUUCAGACCGAAGUGGCAUUCAGGCCAGUUUUCCGAUGUUCAGAUCGAAGAAGUUUCCGACGUUCAGAUCGAUGCAACUUGUGGCAUUCAGGCCAAGUUUCCGGUAUUCAGACCGAAGUGGCAUUCAGGCCAGUUUUCCGAUGUUCAUAUCGAAGAAGUUUCCGACAUUCAGGUCGAUGCAACUUGUGGCAUUCAGGCCAGUUUUCCGGUAUUCAGACUGAAGUGGCAUUCAGGCCAGUUUUCCGAUGUUCAGAUCGAAGAAGUUUCCGACAUUCAGGUCGAUGUAACUUGUGGCAUUCAGGGCAGUUUUCUGGUAUUCAGACCGAAGUGGCACUCAGGCCAGUUUCCCGGUGUUCAGACCGAUGUUUGAUAAUCAAGUAUCGUCCGAUGCUCAGAUCGAAGUCAUUUCCAGUAUUCAGAUUGAUGAGCGGCAUUCAGGCCAUGGUUAUUUCUGUGUUACCAUUUAUUUUGGUAUUCAGGCUAACAUUCCUUGUUUCGGUGUUCACACCGACUCUCACCGUACCAGACGAAUUCUUUUUCAAGACCACCUCUUGGCCGAUUCUGUCAGGCAUUGUUACUUCAUUUUUUCACUUCAGUGUAAAUUUUCGGGCUUUUAUCGUAUUCAAUCCCUUGAUACCUCGAAAGUGCCAAGUUUCCGAUAUUCAGACCGAAGUGGCAUUCAGGCCAGUUUUCCGAUGUUCAGAUUGAAGAAGUUUCCGACGUUCAGAUCGAUGCAACUUGUGGCAUUCAGGCCAAGUUUCCGGUAUUCAUACCGAAGUGGCAUUCAGGCCAGUUUUCCGAUGUUCAUAUCGAAGAAGUUUCCGACAUUCAGGUCGAUGCAACUUGUGGCAUUCAGGCCAGUUUUCCGGUAUUCAGACUGAAGUGGCAUUCAUGCCAGUUUUCCGAUGUUCAGAUCGAAGAAGUUUCCGACAUUCAGGUCGAUGUAACUUGUGGCAUUCAGGGCAGUUUUCUGGUAUUCAGACCGAAGUGGCACUCAGGCCAGUUUCCCGGUGUUCAGACCGAUGUUUGAUAAUCAAGUAUCGUCCGAUGCUCAGAUCGAAGUCAUUUCCAGUAUUCAGAUUGAUGAGCGGCAUUCAGGCCAUGGUUAUUUCUGUNAAAAAAAAAAAAAAAAAAAAAAAGGGGGAAAAAAAAAAAAGGAGGGGGGAAAAAUUUACAGUUUUAAAAAAAAAUUUUCUUUCCCCACGUUCUGACGCGUAAUGGAAAUUAUUGUAUCUCCAUUGCGCUCUUUUUUGGGUUUGCUGUCCCCCAGUUGAAGUAAGAUUUCGUUUGUUCCCGUUUUGGUGGGAUUCGAAUGUCCAUCCUGUAAGUCGAUUUGCUUUUUCCAAGCUCUCCUUUCGGAUUGCAUGAGUGGUUUUUGGCAUAUAUACCAAAUUCACGUCUUUUGGGUUAGUCACCUAUUAUAUACUCCGGUAUCUCUGGUCUGUUUCUUCCUUUUUUCGAGUAUAUUAUUCACGGUCUUGCCGGUAAUGAAUAAUAUGUCUCAUGCUCUUGGUCAAUCUUGCUUGAUUUGUUUCCUCUGCAGAGUAAGAUUCAUAUUCCUUGUGGAAUUGGAAUAUCCAUCCUAUAAACAAGUUCUGCUUUUCUAGCUUCCUUCUAGGAUGAUGAGUGUCCUUGGCACUAUAUACCAAUCACGUUCGGUCGGUCACCUAUUAUAUUACCUCGGUAUCCGCUUGGUUUCCUUCCUUUCUGCUCCCUAUUAUGACUCGGUCCCCUGUGCGAGUCAGAUUUGCCUGAGUUUUAUGUACCUUUUUCAGGUCUUCCUCACGAUGUUUGGGAUUGAUUGAUAUCUCUCACCCUUAUACCGUUCUUAGAUAUUCAUUCUUCCUCCUGAGUUUGUUGCCCUUAUACCGGUGACAUCUCAUCUCGGUUUCCCCUGAAAAGUCUUUUCUAGAUUUCCCAAGCGGAGUUGUUUAUUGCUAUUGUUGUGUUGCUGUAUGGCGUUUUCCCCCAGUACAUGCAUUGUGUGAGUUAGCUUGAGUCAUCCUAUGGAUUGUGUUUCCCCUGAAUUUCGUUCUCCCUCCAGUUCGAACGUCCUUUGCUUCGCCCCAGUGAGGGUCUGCGCAGUCUGAAUUCUGUUUCCCUUAAUCAGAGUCGUGUCUUGCCACAGUUGUGUUCAGUUUUUGUUUUUUUCCCCAACUCGAAGUCGUGCUCCUGCCACGCAUUUCUUUUUCUUUUAUUCCCCAAAUAAGAGAGUCCUUGUUAGAGUCUCUGUUCCUGGUUGAGUGUAUUACUCCGAUGGAUCGUACUUUUCUUCUGUGUUUGAAUUAUAUCCUCACAGAGUUUGUGUCUUUUAGCAUGCAUACAUUUGCAUCAAUGAGGUUCUCUUAGGACCAAAAUUUGUGUCUCAUACUGUAUUUAAGUCCAUUCCUAAUCCGCGUCGAGAUGAAAGAUUUCUAAACUUCACUUCUCGGAUAGAAUGACCUUAAAUAGGGCAUCUGUAUAAGACCCCAAUUGGCCACUAAAUCCCUCAUUGGCCCAUAACAUCUCAUUCAUGCGACCUCAAGGAUCAUGGCAUACCAUUGCUUCCCUCACUAGUGGGUGAGUUUAUCUGUGAGUGUGUGUUCUUGAUCACCAAGCAUUGUUAUUGCAACUUGUAUAUUCAUUGCUUUUCAUAUGUUUUACUAACUCAAAUACAAAAUAUUGUCAUCUAGCGACGGAAUACACCGCUACAAAAAAGCACCCUCACAGUUGUUCACGAGUCUGAAGAUGUUCUUAUCACCCCAUUGAAUAUAGCAUUCAUUGCUUUUAAGUUUCCAAGGGCUAGUUUCAUCCCUUCCUUGUGGUCCCAUUCUUCCUCAGCCAUCUUAAUAAGUUGUAACUUCUCCUCUCCAUAGUAAUAACGUGAUGUUUCCCAGCCUAUUAGAACAACUUCCAACCGCCUUAUUAUCCAAAGAUUUAGAAGGCUACCAUUCGAGGUUUCAAGUAAUAAGUCAUAGUUAGAUCCAUUUCCAGAUUGCGUGGUCUGUGAAAUAGAUCCUUUUCUCUAUUCCAUAGUCCCAGAAAGUAACAUCCCAAGAUCUCACCCAGAACCAGAGCAGGAUGCGCUUCUCGUAAACAAAUUGAAAUUCCUGGUAUUAGAUAUGAUGUUCGAAGGUAAUGUCACGACACUAAUAUCUGAACAAUAUAACAGGAUAAAGUAAAGAAACAAUAGUACAAAAAACAGUUGUAAUACCCCAAAAAUUACCCUUCAUUUUUUCCUGAAGCAUGGGAUUUGUUUACACUUCAUUAGCAUCAUAUUAGGUCAUACCAUUGCAUAUCUGGAAACAUUAGUUACAUGGAGAUCAGGUUUUUGAUCAUCAACUCCCUAACAGAAGGGUCCAUUGAGAUUGGACUUCAUAUUCCAAGUAUAUAAGUUUCAAGGGUCUCAGGGGGCUCCAAGUAUCUUAUUAUGGUCGCUAGUUCAUCCAGUGGAAGGAUUCAAAGCUAUCAGAGUGGUUCAUAUGGAUUUUAAUCAGAAAUUAGGGUUUCAUGGCUACCUGCAACAGGCAAUAUUGGUUGGAAAGUAGAGGAGCUCAUCCAGGUCAAUGAUUAUAGAGGCAUCUUGGCGCAAUAGGCAAGAUUCACAAUUAAUCUUCAGGAAAGACCCAUUUGGCAAUCAGUGCAAUCAGUUCCUGAUCAUUUUGCCCUAAAACUAGGUUGUUUGGUAUAAAGUCAGUAUUUCUGAUUCUUUGGGUGAACUCUUUUCCAUGGCCCUCAUAUGUCCACAAGGGUCUACCAUACAAAAAAUAGUCUUUAUUUGAGCUAGAAGUGCUUCAAUUGAUCAAUGGAAUCGGGGAAUCAGACAGUUUUUGGUGAAAAGUCAACUGUGGGGCCAGAAAAGUCACUGUGGGCAGAAAGUUAACUCCUGACAUUUUGGAGAGUGGAAUCUCAAAAUCCACGCCUAGGCGAUGCCUACAUCGUGAAAUUUGAUCACAACUCUUCCCCUUAUCGUCCUAGAUGAACGGUGCUGUUGAGGCAGCAAAUAAGAACAUAAAGAAGCAGUUGUGUAGAGAUGGUCGUUACGUACAAAGGAUGGCAUGAGAUGCUACCCUUUCGCCUUGCAUGGGUACCGUAUCUUUCAGUACGUACAGUCGACGCGGGGAAACCCCUUACUCCCUUGUGUAUUGGUAUGGAAGCAGUCCUACCUGUUGAAGUGGAAUGAUUCCUUCUCUAAGAAAGUCCUGCUGGAUGUCAAGUUAGACGAAGCUGAAUGGGUUCGAACAAGGUUCAAUGAGUGAGUCUUAUCCGAAGAGAAGCUGAAUGGAAAGCCAUUUGUCAUGGGCAGCUGUAUCAAGUCGGAUGAAGAGAGCCUUUGAUCAGAGAAGUGCAUCCUCGAUGCUUCCAAGUCGGAGAUUUGCGUGUUGAAAAGGAUCCUCCUCCUUAGACAUAUGCACAGGGGCAAGUGGACUCUAAUUAAUGGAUGGACCGUAAUAUUGUCACCCAAGGUUUUUGAUGGUGGAGCCUUAAUGCUUGUCACUAUGGAUGGUGAAAACUUCACUUCCCCUGUGGAACUCAGACGAGCAGUAUAAAAAAUACUUCGCAUAAAUAGACCGACUGGAACGAUUAAAAAGAAUAGUCCUAGGCAAAUAAAUGGGCAUCCCGGCGAACCAAGAAAAUGAAAAAAAGGUUCAGGAAAAAGUUUAGGGAUUAAAAAAUGGAAAAGAUUGUAACACCCGUAGUUGAAAACCUGGAAAGGGCAAACUUUAGGCAAAAGGGUAUCCCAGUGGAUUGAAAACCCGAAAGGGCGAUCCAGGGGAAAAAAGUUAGGGAUAAGCGAAUGGUUGCAUUCUGAGUAAGUUCUGAAUAUCAAUCUCGUGUCGAUAAACCGGAAACUUCCGAAGGAUAUGGAAACAGUCCAUCACCUUAUUUUUCGAAAGCCUGAUCAAUCUGGAGGAUCUGAAACGAGCGAAUCAUAGCAGCAAUGGAACCCGAUAGAAAUCCAUUUCACAUUGCCCAUUAGAUUAAUUUUUGUUUUUAUCUUUGUGCAAUUACCUCUUUCCUCAGGGAAUUACUUCCUGAUUAAAUACCUAUUCAGAGGCACUCAAUCAUUAAAAUCAAACGUUAUUCCAGUUACACCUGCGGUGUUCAUUUUUCAUUUUUACUGUUUUGUUUGCAAAUGAAACGUCCGAAUUUUUGAUAAACAUUGCCAUCACUGAACAUUAAAGAGCCUUUACAGGUACGUGCCUUAAUAAACAAUUGAAAAUUGCUGUAAAUUUUUAAGUGCUUUGGAUCGUCUAUCACGAAACAGGUACAACUCGGGGCAUUUCCUUAAGGGUCCCAUCAAUGAAUCGCUGGAAUAGUUUUUCCUCAACAGUUGGAAUUUGGAUCUUAUCCCUUUGCACCCCAGCUGGUCCGAGCGUUGGAAAUCUUCAUCCACUAGGCAGGCUCUCACUGCUAUAUCCCAAGCAUUUGUUUCAGAUAUUAACGUUCACCAGUAGAGUCGAUAGUGUCAGACUGAUAUCCCCAGCGGAAGUUGACAUGUCAGACUGAUUAUCGCCCAACGGAGUUGAAAGUGACAGACUGUAUCUUUCGCACCAAAAGCGCGUGCUCCUAAGAUUUGAUGCCAGAUCGAUGAUCUCGACCCUAGGACCCAAGAUCUCUUUUCCUUAAGCAGAAUCUUCGGUACCGUAUCGGUGUUUGCUCUCCCUGCUGAGUUCCGUCUCCUUCUGCAGAUUACGGUUGCCAUAAAAAAGAAGACCACUGUCGCUUUCCUCAACAGCAAAUUUUUCCAGUGGCAUUCUCUCCCAGUCAGAGCCUCAAUAUUUUGGUUAUUUUUCCAGAACACCGAUGUGGCAGUCAUUUCCCCACAGAGUUCUUUGUGUUGUGCAUUACUCAACCCAGCUUGCCAGGGUCCAGAAGAUGUGAUCAUUUCCCUGUUCCCAGCAGAAUUCCUUGCCUCAGCUUUGGCUUUCUCUCUAAUCAAAAUUUUCGUUUAUCCCUGUAUGUAGAAAUCAUAUUGCCAUUGCAUCCUCCAGCAAAUUGCGUUAGCAUUUCCAUUUUUCAUGGAGGCCAUGACGCAUUGAAAAAUUCAAACAUACGCAUGUAAAGCAUAAGGCAUUCUCGGUACUCCCAAGUGAUAAGCCAGAAGAUUGUUUCCAGUACUAAACGUGAAGAUUGUUCAUGACUUAUCUAUAUUAUUCCAGCAGGGGUCUUUGGCCCACGUCGCCGCCUCAAUUAUCAUUUUCCCUAUUUUGCCGAUGCUGACAGGGUAUUAAAAGUUCUCCAGUAUUCAGACCGAAGUGCAUUCAGGCUAAGUUUCCGAUGUUCAGAUCGAAGAAGUUUCCUGAAGUUCAGGUCGACGCAACUUGUGGCAAUUUAGGCCAAAGUUUCCGUAUUCAGGACGAAGUUGGCAUUCAGGCCAGUUUUCGAUGUUCAGAUUCGAAGCAGUUUCCCGACGUUCAGAUCGAUGCACAACUUGUGGCAAUUCAGGCACAAGUUUUCCGGUAUUAGGUGUCAUCACCAAUUUCGAGUCAGAAAGAGUUGAGCACUAUUCAUGUGGCUUACAGCUUAGUGUUCUUCAAGGGAUCGAGUACACAUCAUUGGGAUCCUAGAGCAGCUACAAGUUUUUGCAUCGCGAUUACGAUAUCUAGGAGCUCGAUGUCACUUGUGGCAGAGAUUGUCUAAUUCUAGAGCACUCAGUCCUUCGGCUAGAGCUGUGGUAUUCAGACCGAAAGUGGCCAUAUCCAGAUUGCUGUCAGUGCUUGUCCGAUGUUUUAUCAGAUCAGGAUUAGCCGAGUUUCAGGCGAGCAUCACGCCGUCAGAUGUUAGAACUUGACUGAGCGGAUUUCUCUAGGAUUGUCCAGUUAUUCUCUGAGUUACUAUGUCGAAAUUUGGUAUUCGGCGAAGUGCACCAUUGCAGUUUCCCGGUGUUAGACACGCGCAUGUUUUGAUGCAUACCAACUACAGCCGAUGGACGUCAGAUCCAAGUCAUCGUAGUAAUUCUUCAUCUGAUGGAGCACCAUCAGCCAAUUGGUCCUCGAAUUUCUGGUUACAGUCCUUUAUUUCUUUCGUGUUAUUCAGGCUCCUUAACAUUUCCUUGUAUUCAAUGUUGAACUUCGUAAAUGUGCCAAGUGUACUCCUUUUACACCGAUAUCCAGACGUAAUUCUAUAUGUUUCAAUACCACUCAUGCGCAGUUUGUACACGGUUGAUAACCUCAUUUAUUUUAGCAUCAGGAAAUUUCAGGCUUCUUCAAUCGAUAUGGCAAUCUUGAUAUUCGCCAGUUCUCGGUCAAAACGUGCCAAUUUCAUAUGAUCUUUAAGAUGCUUUAAUGCGAUUUCAGUGCAGUUACCACCUUCACCUUGACGCUAUCAACAGACUUUUCCCAGAUAUUUACAGGGAUUGCAAGAUUAUCCCCGCUCUCUCCCCUCGAUGCGACCUUACGUGUAUCGAUGUCAGUACUCUGUCAGAGCUAUUCCAGGCAAAGUUUAUACUCUGGUCCAAUUCAUCCGAAUGAUUGCUAUUCGAGACAUGUAUUUCCGAGAUGUCUCUUUAUCAAGAAUUUCGACUUCACGUACGAUGAAUUCGAUUCAAGUCCAAAAGUUUGCCUCGGCUACACUUCAGACUCACACACAGAAGGCAUUCAGACGCGUUUUUCCAUGUCAGACUAGAGUUCCGGACAUUCAGGUCGAUGUACUUGUUGGCAUUCAGGGCAGUUUUCUGGUAUUUCAGACCUCGGAAGUGGCACUCAAGGCCAGUUUCCCAGCGUGUUCAGACCGAUGUUUGAGUAAUCAAGUAUGUCCGAUGCUCAGAAUCGAAGUCACUUUCCAGUAUUCAGAUUGAUGGAGUCGCAUUCUAGAGCCAUGGUUACUUUCUGGUCAGUACGAUUUAUUUUGGUAAUUCAAGCGGUCUAACAACUUCUUGUUUUCGGUGUUACACACCGAGCUCUCAGCCUACCAGCGUACCAGAGCAAUUCUUUUCAAGACCACCAUUGAACCUAUGGCCGAUCUGCCAGCCAUUGUAACUUCAUUUUUUUCACCUCAGUGUAAGUUUUUCCGGGGCUUUUAUGUAGAUUGAUUCAAUCCUUGAUACCUUCGAAAGUUGAGAAAAACCGUUGCUAUCUUCCUUUCGGUGUCUUCCAGUUUUAUUGAAUCAAGGGCAGCUGUAAUACCCCCAAAAUUUACCCUUUCAUUUUUCUUGGAAGCGAUAGGGAUUUAUGUUUUUACACUUCAAUUAGCGGAAUCAUAUUAGGUCAUACUCAAUUGCAUACUGCAUUACGUGGACACGGAGAUCAGGUUUUGAUCGAUCCUUGCCUUAACAGAAGGCAGCCCUACACAACGCAAGAUGAAAUUGGACUUCAUUUUUCCAAGUAUACAUAGUUUCAGGGUCUCAGGGGGCUCAAGUAUCUUAUUAUGGUCCUCAGUUCAUUAGUGAAGGAUUCAAAGCUAUCAGAGUGUUCAUCUGGAUUUAAUCAGAAAUUAGGGUUUCAUGGCUACCUGCAACAGGCAAUGUUUGGUUGGAAGUAGAGCAGCUUAUCCAGGUCAUGAUUAGAGAGGAAUCUUGGCCUAGGAGGAUUCACAAUUAUCUUAGAAAGACCCAUUGGCAAUCAGUGCAAUCAGUUCUUGAUCAUUUUGCCCUAAAACUAGGGUUUGGUAUAAAAUUAGUUUAUUUCUGAUUCUUUGGUGAAACUCUUUUCCAUGGCCCUCCAUAUGUCCACAAGGGUCUACAUACAAAAAAUCAGCUCUUUAUUUGAGCUAGAAGUGCUUAAAUUGAUCCAUGGAAUCGGGAAUCAGACAGUUUGGGAAAAGUCAACUGUGGGGCCAGAAAAGUCAACUCCUGACAUUUUCAGAGUGGAAUCUCAAAAUCCACGCCUAGGGGAUCCUACAUGUGAAAUUUGAUCAAGGUUGGAUCAUGGAUUCAUCAUUUAAUCAGGAAUUGGAAAAGUUACUUAAUUUGGAAAUGGUUGACUUUCCAAUAGGGGAUCCUACAUGUGAAAUUUGAUCAAGGUUGGAUCAUGGAUUCAUCAUUUAAUCAGGAAUUGGAAAAGUUACUUAAUUUGGAAAUGGUUGACUUUCCAUUUAGGGCAAGUUUUCAUGAUUGUUGCCCUCACUUUAAGCCCAUUUUCCAUCAAGAUAAAAUCUCCAUUUGAAAAUUUCUCCAACAUGAAAGUUGUUCCUCUUGUCCCAAGCUUUCUAGAGAUAUAAAGUUUUCUCCAUUUAGAUCAAAAUUGAGAAAGUUAUGCUUAGUCAAAGUGAGACAUUUUUUUAGGACACUUGGAAAAAUUUCUAAGUCCAAAAUCUUAAAAAUUUGUCAAGAAUUCUUGGCCAGUUUUCUUGCACUUCAAGGAAUUAUUUGAAAAUACUUUAUUCACAUCAAUUGUACCUUUCCAUGUCCUCUUUCACAUCCUUUUAGAAUCAUCUCAUUUGGAUCCAUGGUUUGAGAGAUACAUUCAUUUAAAGUGGGCACCAUGACUUGAUUUUCUAGGCAGAUUUUGGGCCUGGUUGGCCCAAUCAUAUUUUCUAAGCAUGCUGCACAAACCAGUCACAUUUUUUUUACCUCUUUUGGCCAUGCAUUGGACAUCCAUUCACUUAAGUUUGGCCCAAAAUAACAACAUUUUACACCUCACUUCACACUUUUAUUCUUAUGGAUAAAUCACUUAUUAAAAANAAAAAAAAAAAAAAAAAAAAAAAGGGGGAAAAAAAAAAAAGGAGGGGGGAAAAAUUUACAGUUUUAAAAAAAAAUUUUCUUUCCCCACGUUUCUGACGUAAUGGAAAUUAUUGUAUCUCCAUGUGCUCUUUUUUUGGGUUUUGUGUCCCCCCAGUUUGAAGUUUUAAAGAAUUUCGUUUUGUCCCCGUUUUUGGUGGGAUUCGAAUGUCCAUCCUGUAAGUCGAUUUGCGCUUUUUCCAAAGCUCUCCUUUCGAUGAUGAGUGGUUUUUUGGCAUAUAUAACCAAAUUCACCAGUCUUUUGGGUUAGUCAACCUAUUAUAUACUUCCGGUAUCUCUGGUGUUUUUCUUCUUUUCGAGUAUAUUAUUCACGGUCUGGCCGGUAAUGAAUAAUAUGUCUCAUGCUCUUGGGUCAAUCUUGCUUCUGAUUUGUUUUCCUCUGCAGAGUAAAGAUUAUAUUCCUUGUGGAAUUGAAUAUCCAUCCUAUAAACAAGUUCCUGGCUUUUCUAGCUUCCCUUCAGGAUGAUGAGUGUCCUUGGCAUAUAUAUCCAAUUUCACGUUCGGUCGUCACCUAUUAUAUUCCUCGGUAUCCGCUGGUUUCCUUCCUUUCCUGCUCCCUAUUAUGACUCGGUCCUGUGGAGUCAGAUUUGCCUGAGUUUUAUGUACCUUUUUGCAAGUCUUCCCCCGAUGUUUGGGGAUUGAUUGAUAUCUCUCACCCUUAUACGUCUUAGAUAUUCAUUCUUUCCUCCUGAGUUUGUUGCCCUUAUACCGGUGACAUUCAUCUCGGUUUCCCUGAAAAAGUCUUUUCUAUGAUUUCCCAAGCGGAGUUGUUUAUUGCUAUUGUGUGUUUGCCUGUAUGGCUUUUCCCGCCCAGUCCAUGCAUUGUGUGAGUUAGCUUGAGUCAUUCCAUGGAUUGUGUUUCCCCUGAAUUUCGUUCUCCUCCAGUUCGCGUCCUUUGCUUCCCCCCAGUGAAGGUCUGCGCAGUCUGAUUUCUGUUUCCCUAAUCAGAGUUCGUGUCUUGCACGUUGUGUUCAGUUUUUGUUUUUUUCCCCAACUCGAAGUCGUGUCCUGCCACGGCAUUUCUUUUUCUUUUAUUAUCCCCAAUAGGAGUCCUGUUAGAGUCUCUGUUCCUGUGAGUGUAUUACUCCGAUGGAUCGUCUUUUUCUUCUGUGUGAAUUAUAUCCUCACAGAGUUUGUGUCUUUUUAGCAUGCAUACAUUUGCAUCAAUGAGGUUCUCUUAGGGACCAAAUUUGUCUCAUUACUGUUAUUUAAGUCCAUUCCUAAUCGCGCGUCGAGAUGAAAAGAAUUUCUAAACUUCACUUCUUCGGAUAGAAUGACCCUUAAAUAGGGCAUCUGUAAGACCCCAAUUUUGGCCAGCUAAGAUCCCUCAUGCCCCAUAACAUCUCAUAUCAUGGCCUCAAGGAUGCAUUGGCAUAACCAUUGCUUCCCUCACCUAGUGGGUGAGUUUAUCCUUGUGAGUGUGGUUCUUGAUCACCAAGCAUGUAUUGCAACUUGUAUAUUCAUUGCUUUUUCAUAUGUUUUACUACGUCAAAAGUACAAAAUAUUGUCAUCUAGCGACGAAUACACCGCUACAAAAAAAAAGAGCACACCUCACAGUUGUUCACGAGUCUGAAGAUGUUCUUAUCACCCGCAUUGAAAAUAUAGCAUUCAUUGCUUUUAGAGUUUCCAAGGCUAGUUUUCAUCCCUUCCUUUGGUCCCCAUUCUUUCCUCAGCCAUCUUAAUCAAGUUGUAACUUCUCCUUGCCAUAGUAAUAACGUGAUGUUCCCAGCGCUAUUAGAACAACUUCCACCGCCUUAUUAUCCAACAGAUUUUAGAAGGCUACCAUUCGAGGUUUUCAAGUAGGUCAUAGUUAGAUGCAUCCAGAAUUGGUGGUCUGUGAAAUAGAUCCUUUUCUCUAUCCAUAGUCCAGAAAGUAAACAUCCAAGAUCUCACCCAGAACCAGAGCAGGAUGCGCUUCUCGUAAACCAUUGGAAAUUCUGGUAUUAGAUAUGAGAUUCGAAGGUAAUGUCACGACAGCUAAUAUCUGAACAAUAUAAACAGGAUACAAAAGUAAAGAAACAAUAGUAAACAAGUGUAAUACCCCAAAAAUUUACCCUUCAUUUUUUCCUGGAAGCAUUGGGAUUUGUUUUACACUGUUCAUUAGCACAUAUUAGUCAUAGCUCAUUGCAUAUCUGGUAAAAAACAUUAGUUACAUGGAGAUUCAGGUUUUUUGAUCGAUUUCAAACAUCCCUUAACAAGAAGGAGUCCAUUGAGAAUUGGACUUCAAUUCCAAGUAUAUAAGUUUUCCAGGGUCUCAGGGGGCUCCAAGUAUCUUAUUAUGGUCCUUAGUUCAUCCAGGGAAAGGAUUCAAAGCUAUCAGAGUGGUUCAUAACUGGAUUUUAAUCAGAAAAUUAGGGUUUCAUGGCUACUGCAACAGGCAAUAUUUGGGUUGGAAAGUAGAGAGCUCAUCCAGGUCAAUGAUUAUAGAGGCAUCUUGGCGCUAGGAAGAUUCCAAUUAAUCUUCAGAAAGACCCAUUUGGCCAUCAGUGCAUCAGUUCCUGAUCAUUUUGCCCUAAACUAGGGUUUGGUAUAAAGUCAGUAUUUCUGAUUCUUUGGGUGAACUGCUUUUCCAUGGCCCUCAUAUGUCCACAAGGGUCUACCAUACAAAAAAUAGCUCUUUAUUUGAGCUAGAAGUGCUUCAAUUGAUCAAAUGGAAUCGGGAAUCAGACAGGUUUUUUUGGUGAAAAGUCAACUGUGGGGCCAGAAAAGUCAACUGUGGGGCAGAAAAGUUUAACUCCUGACAUUUUGAGAGUGGAAUCUCAAAUCCACGCCUAGGCGAUGCCUACAUGUGAAAAUUUGAUCACAACUCUUCCCCUUAUCGUCCUGAUGAACGGUGCUGUUGAGGCAGCAAAUAAGAACAUAAAGAUAGAUUGUGUAGAAGAUGGUCGUUACGUACAAAGGAUGGCAUGAGAUGCUACCCUUUCGCCCUUGCAAUGGGUACGUAUCUUUCAGUACGUACAGUCGACCGGGGAAACCCUUAUCCCUUGUGUAUGGUAUGGAAGCAGUCCUACCUGUUGAAGUGGAAUGAUUCCUUCUCUAAGAGUCCUGCUGAAUGUCAAGUUAGACGAAGUCUGAAUGGGUUCGAACAAGUUCAAUGAGUUGAGUCUUAUCCGAAGAGAAGCGAAUGGAAAGCCAUUUUGUCAUGGGCAGCUGUAUCAAAGUCGGAUGAAAGAGAGCCUUUGAUCAGAAAGUGCAUCUCGAUGCUUCCAAGUCGGAGAUUUGGUGUUGAAAAGGAUCCUUCCUCUUAGACAUAUGCACAGGGGCAAGUGGACUCUAAUUAAUGGAUGGACCGUAAUAUUGUCACCCAAGGUUUUUGAAUGGUGGAGCCUUAAUGCUUGUCACUAUGAGAUGGUGAAAACUUUCACUUCCCCUGUGGAACUCAGACGGCAGUUUAAAAAAUACUUCGCAUAAAUAGACCCGACUGGAAAACGAUAAAAAGAAUAGUCCUAGGCCAAAUAAAUGGGCAUCGGCGAACCAAGAAAAUGAAAAAAGGUUCAGGAAAAAGUUAGGGAUUAAAAAUGGAAAAGAUUGUUAACACCCGGUAAGUUGAAAACGCUGAAAGGGCACUUUAGGCAAAAGGGUAUCCCAGUGGCUUGAAAACCCGAAAGGGCGAUCCAGGGGAAAAAAAGUUAGGGAUAAGGAAUGGGUUGCAUUCUGAGUAAAGUUCUGAAUAUCAUCUCGUGUCGAUAACCGGAAAUUCCGCAGGAUAUGGAAACAGUCCAUCACCUUUUUUUCGAAAGCCUGAUCAUCUGGAGGAUCUUGAAAGGAGCGAAUCAUAGCAGCAAUGGAACGCCGAUAGAAAUCCAUUUCACAUUGCCAUUAGAUUAAUUUUUUUGUUUUUAUCUGUUGUGCAAUUACUGCUCUUUUCCUCAGGGAAUUACUUCCUGAUGUAAAUACCUAUUCAGAGGCACUCAAUCAUUAAAAUCAAACGUUAUUGCAGUACACCUGCGGUGUUCAUUUUCAUUUUUACUGUUUUGUUGCAAACUGAAACGUCCGAAUUUUUGAUAAACAUUGCAUCCUGAAGCAUAAGAGCCUUUACAGGUACGUGCCUUAAUAAACAUUGAACAAUUGCUGUAAAUUUUAAGUGCUUUGGAUCGUCUAUUCACGACAGGUACAACUCGGGGCAUUUCCUUAAGGGUCCCGAUCAAUGAAUCCGCGAAAUAGUUUUUCCUCAACAGUUGGAAUUUGGUAUCUUAUCCUCUUUGCCCCCCCCGAGCUGGUCCCGAGCGUUGAAAUCUUCAAUCCCUAGGGCAGGCUCUACUGCUAUACUCCCAAGCAUUUGUUUCAGAUUAUAGUUCACCAGUAGAGUCGAUAGUGUCAGACUGAUAUCCGCCAGCGGAAGUUGACAUUGUCAGACUGAUAUCGCCCCAACGGAGUUGAAAGUGACAGACUGUAUCUUUCGCCACGCAAAAGCGCUGCUCCUAAGUUGAUGCCAGAUCGAUGAUCUCGACCGCUAGACCCACGAUCUUUUUUCCUUGAAAGCAGAAUCUUCGGUACGUAUCGGUGUUUGCUUCCCUGCUGAGUUUCCGUCUCUCUUCUGCAGAUUACGGUUGCCAUAAAAAAAAAAAAGAAAAGAACCACUGUCGCUUUCCUCAACAAGCAAUUUUUCAGUGGCAAUCUCUCCCCAGUCAGAGCUCAAUAUUUUGGUUAUUUUUCCAGACACCGUGUGGCAGUCAUUUCCCACAGAGUUCUUUGUGUUUGUGCAUACUCAACCCCAGCUUGCCAGGGUCCAGAAGAUGGUGAUCAUUUCCCUGUUCCGCAGCAAGAAUUCCUUGCCUCAGCUUUGGCGUUCUCUCUAAUCCCAAACAUUUUCGUAUCCCUGUAUGUAGAAUCAUAUUGCUUGCAUCCUCAGCAAAUUUGCGUAGCAUUUCAUUUUUCAUGGAGGCCAUGACGCAUUGAAAAAUUCAAACAUACGCAUGUAAAGCAUAAGGCAUUCUCGGUCUCCCAAGUGAUAAGCAGAAGUUGUUUCAGUAGCUAAACUGAAGAUUGUUCAUGACUUUAUCUUUAUAUUAUUCCCAGCAGGGGUCUUUGGCCACGCGCCGCCUCAAUUAUCAUUUUCCCUAUUUUGCCUGAUGCUGACAGGUAUAAAAGUUCCAGUAUUCAGACGAAGUGGGCAUUCAGGCUAAGUUUCCGAUGUUCAGAUCGAAGAAGUUUCCUGAAGUUCAGGUCGACGCAACUUGUGGCAAUUUAGGCCAAGUUCCGUAUUCAGACGAAGUGGGCAUUCAGGCCAGUUUUCGAUGUUUCAGAAUUCGAAGCAGUUUCCCGAGUUUCAGAUCGAUGCCAACUUGUGGCAAUUCAGGACAAGUUUUCCGGUAUUUUCAGACCCGCAGUGGCAUUCAGGCCAGUUUUUCCGAUGUUCAUAUCGAAGAAGUUUUCCCGACAUUCAGGUCGAUGCACUUGUGGCAUUUCAGGCCAGUUUUAACGGUAUUCAGACUGAAAGUGGCAUUCAGGCGCAGUUUUCCGAUGUCAGAUCGGAAGAAGUUUCCGACAUCAGGUCGAUGUUAACUUGUGGCAUUCUCAGGCCAGUUUUCCGGUAUUUCAGACGCGAGAGUGGCACUCAUUGCCAGUUUCCCGGUGUUCAGACCGAUGUUUUUGAUGAAUCAAUACGCCGAUGCUCAGAUCGAAGUCAUUUCGCAGUAAUUCAGUAUUGAUGAGCGGCAUUCAGGCCAAUGGUUAUUUCUGUGUUACCCAUUUAUUUUUUGGUAUUCAGGCUAACAUUCCUUGUUUCGGGUGUUUCACACGCGACUCUCACCGUACCAGACGAAUUCUUUUUCAAGACCACCUCUUGGCGCGAUUCUGUCACGGCAUUGUUACUUCAUUUUUUUAAGCUUCAGUGUAAAUUUCGGCUUUUAAUCGUAUUCAAUCCCUUGAUACCCUCGAAAGUGCCAAGUUUCCGAUUUUAGACUCGAAGUGGCAUUCAGGCCAGUUUUCCGAUGUUCAGAUUGAAGAAGUUUCCGACGUUCAGAUCGAUGCAACUUGUGGGCAUUCAGGCCAAAGUUUUCCGGUAUUCAUACCGAAGUGGCUAUUCAGGCCAGUUUUCCGGAUGUUCAUAUCGAAGAAGUUUCCGACAUUCAGGUCGGAUGCAACUUGUGGCAUUCAGGCCAGUUUUCCCGGUAUUCAGACUGAAGUGGCAUUCAUGCCAGUUUUUCCGAUGUUCAGACGAAGAAGUUUCCGACAUUUCAGGUCGAUGUAACUUGUGGCAUUCAGGGCAGUUUUCUGGUUUUCAGACCCGGAAGUGGCACUCAAGGCCAGUUUCCCAGGUGUUCAGACCGAUGUUUGAGUAAUCAAGUUAUGUCCGAUGCUCAGAUCGAAGUCCAUUUCCAGUAUUCAGAUUGAUGAGCGCAUUCAGGCCCAUGGUUAUUUCUGUGUUACGAUUUAUUUUGGUAAUUCAGGCUAACAUUCUUGUUUUUCGGUGUUCACACGACUCUCGCACCGGUACCAGAGCGAAUUCUUUUCAAGACCACCUCUUGGCCGAUCUGACAGGCCUUGUUAACUUCAUUUUUUUCACUUCAGUGUAAAUUUUCGGCUUUUAUUUGGAUUCAAUCCUUGAUACCUGUCGAAAGUGAGAAAACCGUUGCUAUCUUCCUUUCGGGUCUCCAGUUUUAUUGAAUAAGGGCAGCUGUAAUACCCCAAAAUUUAACCCUUUCAUUUUUUCUUGGAAGCAUGGAUUAUAUGUUUUAGCACUUCAUUAGCAUCAUAUUAGGUCAUACUCAAUUGCAUACUGCAUUACGUGGACACGGAGAUCAGGUUUUGAUCGAUCCUUGCCUUAACAGAAGGCAGCCCUACACAACGCAAGAUGAAAUUGGACUUCAUUUUUCCAAGUAUACAUAGUUUCAGGGUCUCAGGGGGCUCAAGUAUCUAUUAUGGUCCUCAAGUUCAAUUAGUGAAAGGAUUCAAAGCUAUCAGAGUGUUCAUCUGGAUUUUAAUCAGAAAUUAGGGUUUCAAUGGCUACCUGCAACAGCAAUGUUUGGUUGGAGUAGAGCAGCUUAUCAGGUCAAUGAUUAGAGAGGAAUCUUGGCCUAGGAGGAUUCACAUUAAUCUUAGAAAGACGCCAUUGGCAAUCUGUGCAAUCAGUUCUUGAUCAUUGUUUGCCCUAAAACUAGGGUUUGGGUAAUAAACAUUAGUUAAUUUUCUGAUUCUUUGGGUGAAACUCUUUUCCAAUUGCCCUGCCAUCAUGUCCACAAGGGUCUACAUACAAAAAAAUCACAGCUCUUGCUUUAUUUGAGCUAGAAGUGCUUAAAUUGAUCCAUGGAAUCGGGAAUUCAGACAGUUUGGGAAAGUCAACUGUGGGGCCAGAAAAGUCAACUCCUGACAUUUUCAGAGUGAAUCUCAAAAUCGCACGCCUAGGGGAUCCUACCAUGUGGAAAUUUGAUCAAGGCUUUUGGAUCAUGGAUCAUCAUUUAAUCAGGUAAUUGGGGAAAAGUUACUUAAUUUGGAAAUGGUUGACUUCCAUUUAGAGCAGAGUUUUCAAUGAUUGUUGCCUCACUUUAAGCCAUUUUCCAUGCAAGAUAAAAUCGCUCAUUUGAAAUUUCUCCAACAUGAAAGUUGUUUCCUCUUGUCGCCAAGCUUGCUAGAGAUAUAAAGUUUUCUCCAUUUAGAUCAAAAUUGAGAAGUAUGCUUAGUCAAAGUGGACGAUUUUUUUAGGACAACUUGGAAAAAAUUUUUCCUAAGUGCCAAAAUCUUAAAAAUUUGUCAGAAUUCUUUGGCCAGUUUUCUUGGCACUUCCAAGGAUUAUUUGAAAAUACUUUAUUCACAAUCAAUUGUACCUUUCCAUGUCGCUCCUUUCAUACAUCCUUUUAGAAUCAUCUCAUUUGGGAUGCCAUGGUUUUGAGACGAUACCAUUCAUUUAAAGUGGGGCACCGAUGAAUUUGAUUUUCUAGGCAGAUUUUUGGGCGCUGUUGGCCCCAAUCAUAUUUUCUAAGGCGAUGCUUGACAAACGCAGUCACAUUUUUUUAACCCUUCUUUGGCCAUGCAUUGGGACAUCCAUUCACUUAAGUUUGGCGCCAAGAAUAGAAACAGUUUUUUUUUUAAACAGACCUCACUUCACACUUUUAUUCUAUGGAUAAAUCACUUAUUAAAGAAGCCCAUGAGAAAACCUAAUCCACAGCUAUUUAGAAGCUGAAAACGCUAAGCCUAAAGGGGCAUUGGAAUUUUUCGUGCAAGGAGCAAAGCUUCAUCACAUAACAAGAUUUCCAAAUUCCACUUCUAUUUUUUUCAUUAAGGUAAUGCAUCUCUUCCUCUUCCAUGACCAUGUUUUGAUAUAUCUACGCUUGCUUACCAUGUUCAUCACCAUUAAUCCUUCCAUUUUCGUAUUUCUUUUUCUUAUUUAAAAUAUUUUCUUCGUCCAUAAAAUUACCCAAAAAUAAUUUUCACUUUUCUUAACAUUUUAUAUAAUUUUAUAUAAUUUUUAUUUUCGUAUUUUUUUUAAUUAAUAUUUUAUUUUAAUUAUUUAUUCUGAAUGGUCUAUUUUAACACACUUUUUUUUAUUGAUUUUAUUUUUAUGACUUAAAAUUAUUGUUAGCAUUUGAUUUUUGGGAUGAAGGUUGACCGCUGUCUCAUGGUCAACUUGACCUUUUCUUGGAAUUUUAUUUCAAAUUUCCAAUUUAUUUUGGAUUUAUUUUUGACCUAGUUUGGUUGGUUGACCUUUAAUUUGACUUCUAUUUUAUUUUAAUUAAUUCAUAUGUCAAUUUUCAUUAUUUUUAAAAUCGUUUUGGGGGAUCUUGAUUUCCUGACCCCAUCCUAUUUAUUUUAAUUUUUCAUAAUUUUCUUGAUUAAUUUACUAUUUAUUCUUGAUUUAUUUCUAACCUAGUCUUAUUAAUUGACUUUUGGUUUGACCUCGGUUUUAUUUUAAUUAAUUUAUGUACCAAAUAAUUUUCUUGAUUAAUUUACUAUUUAUUCUUGAUUUAUUUCUAACCUAGUCUUAUUAAUUGACUUUUGGUUUGACCUCGGUUUUAUUUUAAUUAAUUUAUGUACCAAUUUUCGUUAUUUUUAAAAUACUUUUGGGGGAUGAUGAUGUCCUGACCUCACCUUAUUUAGUUUAAUUUUUCAUAAUUUUCUUGAUUAAUUUGCUAUUUAUUUGUUAUUUUUUAAGUUGACUUGAAUUUUUAGUUGACUUCUUUAUGAUCGAUGUUUGACUUAGGGAUUACUUAGGGAAAUUGAAUAAAUCUUUUGAUCCUCCCUUGUUCAUAUCAUAAGCCAUGUAUUAGAGGCCUUUUACCUUGAUUUUAUUUGGUCCUUACCUUAUUUCCUGAUUAAAUUAUUCAGUGGACCCUUCGUGUGCAUAUUUUCAUCUGUUUGAUUCAUCUGUUACCUUUUAUACUUGUUUCUCUCAUUCAUGCUUUCUAUUGCUUGAUUAUUUAACAUGUUCAUACUCUCAUGCAUUGUUUAAAUGCUCCAUUAUUUUAUUCUUUGGUUUGAUUAUAAAUUUUUUAUUUAUCCGAUCUGAUUGAUAAUUGUUGCCUACUUGUAUGAUGUAUGAGGCAUAUAUUCUUAUUGUUUGUUUGCCAUGAACAAUCCCCAUUUCAUAAUAAUUUGUACUCCACUUCUGAACUGAGGCUUGAUAAAAUAAUUAUUAUUUAAUUUCUUUUUAUUUUCAGCCUGUUAGUACAAGUUAAUGAGAACGACAAUCCGGGAGACCAUUUCAUAAUGAAGUCUUCAACGUCGAGUAAUCAUUUUCAAAACUUAACAGAACCAGCACACAUUCAUCCAUCCUCUUGUAAGUCGAUUGCCUCAGGCAUCGCCAUCUACCUAUAAGUCGAUUGCCUCCGGCAUCGCCAUCUACCUUUAUCCGUAACUCCUCUCUGCGCUCCAUUCGUCGACUCUUGUUCUGUUUAGGGAGCACCCAUUAGGUAGAACCCUUUGUAUGAUAACAUAGGUAGAAUUCCCUUAUUCUUUGCAUGCUAACAUUAGGUAGAUGUUCCCCUUGGUAAAUCCUAACGCAUAGGUCCAUAUUGAAUGACAAUUCUAGGGCAGAGCUUCCCCACUUUAAGACCUUCUGUGUGCCUCCGAUCUUGUGGCAUGUCAGUCAGUUCUAUUGCAAAGAGGUAACUGCCUAAGACUCGAUUCAACGAGCUGUGACACCUACUGCUAGGACAUUGAACACAUUGCCAACCCUCCUUUGACACAGCUGGUGUCCUCCUUUGUAAGUCCAUGUUCAGAUGGCAAUCCUUAACCCCUAGUUAGCCGAACUACGUUUUGCUCUGAUUCUCAUUCCAGAUGAGAUACGUAGGCAUAAGACGCGACGUCUUACCGAGCACACUUCUCUUUAGCCCAUAGGUAGCCGAGCUACGAAGAUUCUGAUUCUCAUACUCAGAUGAGAUACGUAGGCAGUGGAUGUGACAUCCUUGCGAGUCAUUUUCUUUUAACCUUCCUUUUAGUAAAUAGUACUUCAGAUAUACCUACACCCUUUAGACUAGAACAACGCUUAUGAAAAGGGCUCCUUAGGGGUACCUAAGAUGUUGUGGGUGCUUAAUUCCUUCCCAUUGCAUAACCAACCCCCUUACCCAGAUCUCUGACAUUUUUACUAGUUUUUGAUUCGAUAAAACUUUUAGGUUUUUGUUCGCUUUCUAACCAUUCCUUUGGAUAAAUAGAAGUGUGGUGGCGACUCAACUUGUAUGGUUUACCUUGGAUUUAGUCAAUAUCUCUAAUGGUAACGAAUACCCCGCUACAGAAUCCUGUUGGCGUUGUCUAAUGUUGUGAAUGUGGUUUUUUAAUGUCUAGUUAUGACAAUGUAAUUCUUCCAUGGAGACACGUAUCUCCUCUAUGGCGUCAACAUCAUCGCUACCGCUAUUAUCUUCUGGCGUAAGGGAUGUUGUUAUCCUAUUAAUCAUAAUUAAAGUUGGAUACAUAUAUGAGUGAAUGGUAAUAAUAGGAAGUGUGAUGGUGAUAAAUAGGAUGUGGCCCAUGUUAAUUUUAUCGGGGUCCCAUGGUAGGCGCCACUAUACUUGUCAAAAAGUACAGGUGUGCGUGUUCCCCCUACAAGGGCACGUAGACUCAAAAGCCUUAAUAGGUUUAUAACACAAUAUGGUGGUUUGGAAUUGCCUAAGACGGAGAGUAACCCUGCACGAUCGUGUUUUAGAGGCAUUUAUGGGUCCUACUCAUGUGAGGUAAGAUACGUUGUUGAUGACCGGUGAGGCUUGAGAGCAAGCAUAUAAUUAUGGCCAAUCGUGGUAUUGUGACUUUAGUAAGCGUUAUGCUAUUUUAGGGUUUAAAUAAUGAGUAGUCUUUUCUCCUGCAUGGUACAUGUAGUUAAGAGGCUCUUUAGACCUAUGGUUUGGGUCUUCCUCAGUGGCGUUAACCGCUUCCCUCUUAUCAGAGAAGGUUAUUGACCACUUACGUCAUUAGAAAAGUGUGUUCAUGUUUUAGUUAGACCAGAGAUUAAUAUAUUUAGCUAUGAAGGUUUUUUUUUAGAUUUUUGUUUCUUAUGUUUUGUAAAAAUAGGCAUUUUUUAUUUUGAGGUCAUGUUGACAAUAUUUUUUUUGGUUUUAUCUCUAAUUCAUUGUUGGUUCUCUUGAUUUUGUGAGAAGGUGGAAAGUAAGGGAAAAAUAACUUAUAAUAAGGUUAGAUAGUGACUUCAAUUCAAUUUUUCUAUGUUUAAAUCAAUCUCUUGAGAAGAUACUUAUUUAGUAUUACAUAAUCUCUUAAGAAAUUAAAAAUUAAGUAUUACAUAUCACACAUUAAAGUCCUACUCAAAAUUUUGAACUUGCCAAUACUUAAUUUAUCUAUUACAUUACAUUACAUAUGCAAAGGUUGUUAUAUAGAAUAUAAGAAUCUAAUUACCUUGAACCAAAGCUUGUACAUACCAUGUAUCAUAUGAUAUUAUCCUACAAACAUACCCUUCUGAAAUAAUGAAUCAAAUUAUUCUUUCUUGACAAAACAAAACAACUUUUUUCCAACAUCUUUCAACAAUUUAUCUUGUUAUUACGCUCUUGUCUGAUGGACAGAGUGAAGAGGAGGCAAUGCUCAAUCUCAACUCUGUGAACAAGUUGAAGAUAUUGAGAUGUAGGGGUGGCAGGUUUUGCUAAUGUCAGGUUUGCAAUCAUUGAAAUUUGGGUCGAGUGAGUGACACAAGCCUCUGUUCGGUAUUAUGACAAUUGAUUUAUUUAAGAUGGCUAGUAUUUAGGAUUGUAUGGUAGACCCUACUAUCAAAUGGUUUAUGCCAUAGUUGUGCAUUUCAUUUAUGACAUGUUAGAAUAAAAUUUGAAUCUUAAUUAUGAUGUAUAUUUAGCCUGAAGUAAUUGAUUAUAAUCAUGAUGGUUUCAUUUUUCUUUUGAAAAG
Molecule: long non-coding RNA, 29117 nt
Filed under: Lathyrus oleraceus (garden pea)
Lineage: Eukaryota; Viridiplantae; Streptophyta; Magnoliopsida; Fabales; Fabaceae
Description: Pisum sativum (pea) long non-coding RNA (PSAT_LNC034675)
Source: RNAcentral